This is a non-coding RNA of Vicia faba (fava bean), 366 nucleotides long. Lineage: Eukaryota; Viridiplantae; Streptophyta; Magnoliopsida; Fabales; Fabaceae. The record is from the annotation of a GenBank genome assembly.
AUGCUUCUCCCCGCCGAUCAAGCAGCGACGCUGCUCGUGAUAGGCUUAGCUUUAAGCCGCUAUCGUUCGGUUCGAAUAAGUAAAGUCCCCUCGGUCGGUUCGCUCAGGGGCGCGUCAGUACGGCUCCUUCCCUUCCACUGCAUAGCUGCGCUAGCAGGUACUAUGAGCCCUCUGUCCCACGUAUCUAACCAGCUCGCGUGGUUCACCGGUUCCACCGAAAACUCUCAUUUGUUGAAGCGGAGCAUAGUGCGCUUUAGGCGCCGAGCGAGAAAGGUAUCUUUCUUCUUUCGUUUCGGUUUAUUCACUGAUCUGAAACUUAGCACUAGUUUUCUUAUUGAUUCCAGGGGCGGCGGCGUUCUUGAAUGA